Molecule: ribosomal RNA, 536 nt
Filed under: uncultured bacterium
Lineage: Bacteria
Description: bacterial SSU rRNA
Rfam family: Bacterial small subunit ribosomal RNA
Source: RNAcentral
GAAUUCGCCCUUAGAGUUUGAUCCUGGCUCAGGAUGAACGCUAGCGGCAGGCCUGACACAUGCAAGUCGAGGGGUAACAGGGAGCUUGCUCCGCUGACGACCGGCGCACGGGUGCGUAACGCGUAUACAAUCUACCUUUUGCUGUGGGAUAGCCUUUGGAAACGAAGAUUAAUACCGCAUAGUAUGCAGACUUCUCAUGAAGAUUGCAUUAAAGGUUACGGCAAAAGAUGAGUAUGCGUCCUAUUAGCUAGUUGGUGUGGUAACGGCACACCAAGGCCACGAUAGGUAGGGGCCCUGAGAGGGGGAUCCCCCACACUGGUACUGAGACACGGACCAGACUCCUACGGGAGGCAGCAGUGAGGAAUAUUGGACAAUGGAGGCAACUCUGAUCCAGCCAUGCCGCGUGCAGGAAGACUGCCCUAUGGGUUGUAAACUGCUUUUAUACGGGAAGAAACACUGCUACGUGUAGCAGCUUGACGGUACCGUAAGAAUAAGGAUCGGCUAACUCCGUGCCAGCAGCCGCGGUAAUAAGGGCG